UACAGAGGGGGCAAGCGUUGUUCGGAAUUACUGGGCGUAAAGGGCGCGUAGGCGGCCUUCUAAGUCGAACGUGAAAUCCCCGGGCUCAACCCGGGAACUGCGUCCGAGACUGAAAGGCUUGAAUCCGGGAGAGGGAUGUGGAAUUCCAGGUGUAGCGGUGAAAUGCGUAGAUAUCUGGAGGAAUACCGGUGGCGAAGGCGGCAUCCUGGACCGGCAUUGACGCUGAGGAGCGAAAGCCAGGGGAGCAAACGGG
This 253-nucleotide ribosomal RNA is filed under the name uncultured bacterium. RNAcentral describes it as "partial 16S ribosomal RNA". It matches the Rfam family "Bacterial small subunit ribosomal RNA", at positions 524 to 776 of the family's 1533-position model. The record is from RNAcentral.